This 266-nucleotide ribosomal RNA is filed under the name uncultured bacterium. RNAcentral's name for it is "partial 16S ribosomal RNA". It matches the Rfam family "Bacterial small subunit ribosomal RNA", at positions 87 to 354 of the family's 1533-position model. The record is from RNAcentral.
UCCGGCGACCGGCGCACGGGUGAGUAACACGUAUGCAACCUGCCCUCCUCAGGGGGACAACCUUCCGAAAGGGAGGCUAAUCCCGCGUAUAUCGGUUUCGGGCAUCCGAGAUCGAGGAAAGAUUCAUCGGAAGAGGAUGGGCAUGCGGCGCAUUAGCUAGACGGCGGGGUAACGGCCCACCGUGGCGACGAUGCGUAGGGGUUCUGAGAGGAAGGUCCCCCACACUGGUACUGAGACACGGACCAGACUCCUACGGGAGGCAGCAG